CCAUUAAAAGCACAGGUUAGAUAACAUCACAACAGGGCUUUCUCACCAGUCUACUAAGCCCUCAUAGAAGAAAUGACCUGCUGAGUCUGUUUCUGUCAGUUUGUAUAUGGCUUCAGGAUUGAGCACUCUGCAAAAGACGACCACCAAGAAGGCUAAUUCUCCACCUGGGAGAGGCUAAUUCUCCUUCUUUCUGCUGUCAUCAAUUGCCUGUGCUUCCUGGUCUAGGGAUGGGAUCCCUUGAGAUCCUCCCCCUUUAGUGUUAACAUGUCUGUUGAUAUUGCCAACAGCCUGGUCUUGUUUACAUGGUCACUUGUAGGAGAGCCUGUUUAGAGCAAGCUCCUCUUACGAUCUUUCCACCCUCUCUCCCAUGUUCUUCACUGAAUCAUCAAUAGAGGAGCUGUGAUGUAGAUGUAUCCACUGGGACCAAGGCCCCCACAAACAUCCCUCUCUGCCUCGUAUCAAGUUGUGGGUUUCCGUGGUACUCCCCCUUUUCUGUAAAGAGAAAUGUCUCUGAUGGAGGGUGGUUGCUAUUUUUAUCAGUCCGUAUAAGGAUAAGAUUUAGAAUGUAAUAAUGAAUUAUGCUGGUGUAGCAAAGGGGACUCUUUGAUAACUUCCAUGACCUCAUUGGCUCCGGGAAGUUGGAUAGGUUUUCAGUACCAAGCAUGAUUUUCCUCUUAUAGAAUGGCCUUAAGUACAAUUAGUUGUUGGUUGACAUAGACAUGUAAGCACCAUUUUAUAUACAUAUUAUAUAUAUAUAUAUAUUCAUACACUUCACAGUUGUUCAUCUGGGUUCAUGGAUGGUUAAUAGGUGUUGUUGCUAGGUAGGAGUGUUUAAUUUCUUCCCUUCCUUGGAAACUUGCAUAGUGUUUUCUGGAACUGUGGAAGCUAGAUCUCAGAAAAGAGACUUUCAUGUCUGAUCCUGAUUGAAUCAUCUAAGUCCUAUGUUUUAAGUAUGUUGUGUCUUCCGCCACAGGAUCCCAACCUCAACCCCAGAGAUGCACCCAAGUGCUAGAUCAAUAAUCUAUAUUGUUUUGGGAGUCUCUUGACUCAUUGAAAGGAGGAUUUUUGUCCCGUGCAUUUUGUUUGUUUAUUUGUUAGUCUGGUUCCUUUAGGGACUAGAAAGACAAACACCACACCUUCUCUCUCAUCUGAAAUUCCUAGUUUCCAGUCCUCAGGUUCAGAGGUUCAGUCCAUCAUCAUCAUCAUCAUCAUCAUCAUCAUCAUCAUCAUCAUCAUCAUCAUCACCACCAUCAUCAUCACCAUCAAGGUAGGAACAUGGCAGCAUCCAGGCAGACAUGGUGCAGGCAGAGCUGAGAGUUCUACAUCUUUAUCUGAAGGUUGCUAGCAGAAUACUGACUUCCAGGCAGUUAGGAGGAUGUCUUACAGGUCACACCCACAGCGACACACUUAGUGCAACAAGACCACACCUACUUCAACAGGGCCACACCUUCUACUCAUGCCACACCCUGAGCCAAGCAUAUACAAACCAUCACAUUCCGCUCCCUGGCUCACAUAGACUUGUUCAAACACGUGAGUUUAUGGGGGCCAUAUCUAGCCACAGCAUAAUAAAAAAUAUAUCUAGUCUAACUUCCAAAGUCUCCAUAGUUUAUAGCAGUCUCAACAAUGUUAAAAGUCCAAAGAUCAAAGUCUCUUCUGAGACUCAUCCAAUCAUUUAACUGUAAUCUCCAAAGCAAGACAGGGAACCAGCUGGGCAAACUCCACUCUCUGCAUCUCCAUAGCUGAUGUCAAAUCGGUCUUCAGAUCUCCAACUCCUUUUCAACUUUGUUGACUGCAACAAAAUUCUUUCUCCUGGGCCAGUUCCACUUCCUAUUAGCAGCUUUCCUCAGCAGAUAUCCCAUGGUUCUGGCAUCUCAAACAUCUUGGGGUCUCCAAGGCAGCUUCAAUGUUACAGCUUCUUGUUCCAGUGUCUGGGAUCCACACAUGAUCUUCUGGGCUCCUCCAAAGGGCUAGCAUCACUUCUCCAGCUCUGCCUUCUGUAGCUCAGGGUGAUCCACUCCACUGCUGCUGCUGUUCUUGGUGGUCAUUCCAUGGUACUGGCAUCUCCAAUAUGCUGGGGUCUUCCACUGAAGCUAGGCUUCACCAAUAGCCUCUCAUAGACUCUCAUCAUGGUGCCAAGCCUCAGCUCCUUUGCAUGAACCUCUCAGUCUUGGGCCAUCAGCUGCAACUGAGGCUGCAACUUCACCAGUGGCCUUCCAUGGCCUCUCACAGUGCCCUGCCUCAGCUGCUCUUCAUGAUGCCUUCAUGCCUUCAAAACCAGUACCACCUGGAUGACUCUUACACAUUACCAAGUACAGCUGCAGCACAAGGGAAGUGGUGUUGUGGACAGGAUGAAAAAAGCGGAAGCCGGAGGCCAAUAAAUGGACAGAAAUAAUGUGUUGAGAGACUGGCACGAUAAGAAAUUUCUGAAAGGACAAAGGAGGAUCCCUAUGGAGAAUG
Rattus norvegicus (Norway rat) is the source of this 2457-nucleotide non-coding RNA. Lineage: Eukaryota; Metazoa; Chordata; Mammalia; Rodentia; Muridae. The record is from RefSeq and is a predicted model, not a curated record.